Molecule: ribosomal RNA, 497 nt
Filed under: uncultured bacterium
Lineage: Bacteria
Description: partial 16S ribosomal RNA
Rfam family: Bacterial small subunit ribosomal RNA
Source: RNAcentral
GAUGAACGCUGGCGGCGUGCCUAAUACAUGCAAGUCGAGCGAACAGACGAGGAGCUUGCUCCUUUGACGUUAGCGGCGGACGGGCGAGUAACACGUGGGUAACCUACCUAUAAGACUGGGAUAACUUCGGGAAACCGGAGCUAAUACCGGAUAAUAUUUCGAACCGCAUGGUUCGAUAGUGAAAGAUGGCUUUGCUAUCACUUAUAGAUGGACCUGCGCCGUAUUAGCUAGUUGGUAAGGUAACGGCUUACCAAGGCAACGAUACGUAGCCGACCUGAGAGGGUGAUCGGCCACACUGGAACUGAGACACGGUCCAGACUCCUACGGGAGGCAGCAGUAGGGAAUCUUCCGCAAUGGGCGAAAGCCUGACGGAGCAACGCCGCGUGAGUGAUGAAGGUCUUCGGAUCGUAAAACUCUGUUAUUAGGGAAGAACAAACGUGUAAGUAACUGUGCACGUCUUGACGGUACCUAAUCAGAAAGCCACGGCUAACUACGUG